UUGCAGAAUUUCUCUUCUAACAGGGGUAGC
RNAcentral lists this non-coding RNA (30 nucleotides) under Rattus norvegicus (Norway rat). Lineage: Eukaryota; Metazoa; Chordata; Mammalia; Rodentia; Muridae. The record is from RNAcentral.